UGCCAGCCGCCGCGGUAAUACGGAGGGUGCGAGCGUUAAUCGGAAUUACUGGGCGUAAAGCGUACGUAGGCGGUUGGAUAAGUUAGAUGUGAAAGCCCCGGGCUUAACCUGGGAACUGCAUUUAAAACUGUUCGACUAGAGUUGAGUAGAGGGGAGUGGAAUUUCAGGUGUAGCGGUGAAAUGCGUAGAGAUCUGAAGGAACACCAGUGGCGAAGGCGACUCCCUGGACUCAAACUGACGCUGAGGUACGAAAGCGUGGGUAGCAACCAGGAUUAGAUA
RNAcentral lists this ribosomal RNA (279 nucleotides) under uncultured bacterium. Its description in RNAcentral is "partial 16S ribosomal RNA". It matches the Rfam family "Bacterial small subunit ribosomal RNA", at positions 506 to 784 of the family's 1533-position model. The record is from RNAcentral.